GAUGCAAAUCCAUACUUUAAAAAUUCGCCAUCACUUUUGACAACUUUUUGCUGCAUACACGUUUUCCGUGACAUGAAAUGCCAAUGUAAUUUAUCGUAAUAUCUGGCAACAAUUGUUUUCUUUAUUAGCGUAGUUCAUGAAAUUGUCUUGAACCUAAAAAUCUUCAACUAAAAAAAGAAGGAAAAAAAAAAUUCAAAAUGGGUUACUAUCUUCCAAAAGUUGUUAUUCAAAACAAUGUUAAUGUAUAGUAAGCCUUUAACCAAACUACCAGUUAUUCAAAAUUCAUUUGUGUGGCUAGUAGUUGUACAACUUUACAUUACAUUCACUUUAGGAUUUUCAUUCAGUGGCGGCUUGUGGGAGGGGCCAGAGAGAGUCCGGCCUGACACUUUUUUGCAACACCCUUCUGGCAAUCAUGAAUAUCUUUCAUGAUGUACUUACUAGUUUAAGUAUUUUGUGGCUUGUCCUUGCUUAAACUGAAUUUAUUUUUAUUCAUUUUAACAAAUAUUUUUUAAAGAAAUUUAAAAAAGGGGGAAUGGGUGCGAAUGCACCUUAAGUCGCCACACAUGAUCUGGCCCCCUAACUUUUUCAAGGCAUGAGCCGCCACUGUUUUCAUUGAAAUUAAAUUUCAUUUUAGUUGCUGUGUUGUAGUUGGAAUUGCUGAACAAUGAUUGUAUCGAAACCAAAAUAUUAAAAUAAGGCCCAGGUUUUGCUUUGAUUAAUACUCAAAACUGGAAAAAAAAAAACAGAGAGAUUACUGUAAAAGCCCUCAUUUACGUGAGCCCAUUGCAGCAGCAAAAAAUUUAAGCCAUGCAAAAUAUUUUAACCUUUUAUUUCACUUCAGUAUAAAAUUCGCAAAAUUUCCAGCUCUUGAAAUCACUAAUAUCUUGAUGUUGGCAAAAAUUAGGGCUCACAAAAAUAUGUGCUUUUACAGUACAAUUUUAGGACAACAUUGGUCAAGAAAGCAUAACUGGUCAAUUUUGUAUAGCAGGCUCUUGUCUCCAAAAAUCUGAUACAGCAAUGUGCUAUUACAUCUUGCUUUUUUUCAGAAUUUUUUAUGAUUAAACUUGAUUACUCAUUGGAAAAGUGACGACAUCAUUACCAAGCCUAAGCUACCGAGAGGAUCUGGCUAAUUGUUCAAUCAGUUACAGUUAAAAGACAAGUUUUUUCAAGACUUAGAAACAGAACUGGAAAGUUGUGAUAGACAUAAUUGAUAAGUCUGCUAAAAAAUGCACCAUACAGCAUGAUUCGUUUGUUUAAUAGUGACAUCAAAGGGAAGGAAUCGGAGUUUUCAUGCUUCAAAUGAAGUCAAAAAUGUUGAAUCUUAAAGACAUGAAAUCCUGCCUGUGUUAAGUAACAAGUAUUGGAUUGAUCUCAAGAAUUUUCAGCCACAUUUGUUUCACAAGAAACAGAUGGUAAGAUUGGUUCACUUCUAAAAAAUAUUUUUUCUUUUUUGCAAUAUCAGCUCUAUUUUUUUCAAUUAUUAGUUUCUCCUUAUAAUUCUUCAUCCAUGUGAUUAAGAGUUUCUCCUUAUAAUGAAUGCAUUAAUAGACAAAGCGCUAGAACUGUUUUAAAAAUGGCCUUAGCAUGUAAUUUUUAUUGGUAUCAAAUGUUGGAUAUUAAUUUAAAAAAUGCUUCAUAAGUUUAUUAGUUUUCAAAUGAAGCCUAUUGUUGAUCUCUGAAUUGAGCUUGAUUCUUGAUAAACAUAAAUUUGGAUACAUUUGUUCGAACUGGUGAAAGAUAUGUCUGACUGUAAUGUUUCUUCUUCAUUUGAAUUUCAAAUGUUCAUUUAGGAGGAAAUUUGGAUAAUUUAAUUUUUUACAAAAUUUUAACUCUGAAAACGAAACAUUUGCAACAUUUUGAACAACUAAAAAGAAACUUCACAAAAUUCAAAGUUAAAAAAUGGAACCUUGCUAUAUCUAUUGUAAAAGUAUCCAAUUUUGUUGAUCACACAUGUUGAUUUAACUUCCUCAUAAUUUAUUUUCAUUGCAAAUAUUAGUAUCUUUAUUUCUUACAGCUAAAUAAAUUUUACUGAAUAGACAAGUAUCUCAUUCAGGAACCACACUAAGCAUUCACAACUGCGCCAAAUGUGAUAAAAUCGUAAAUUUGGCAAACUAAAAUUCUGAUGUGGCAAAUUUUAUUGGCGAACAGAGCUCGUUGAAAUUUCCAGAAAAAAAAAAAAACCUCCCUGAUCCUCAAAAGAUUGUCAAAAAAAAAAAAAAAUAAAUAAAUAAAAAUAAAUAAAUAAAUAAAAAAAUAAACGUAAAUAAGUGUAAUUUAUCUUAAGUGUAUGCUGUACCUUUAGAGUAUAGUAAGUGCUAGCAUUUAAUAUUCAAUAAAAUUAUACUUAGUUCUCUGAUUAAAUAUUUCUACAGGAAAAAAAAUGUUAAAAUCACACAAUUAGUUAGUCUUUGGAUAAGACUUUUAAAAUCUAGCUACUACUAAAUUUGGCUAAUUUACUGGCUAACAAUUCGAAAUCCUCAUCGCUGCCCCUGCACCAAAAAAGAUACUAAUGAAAAAAUGUCCAGAAAUGCCAAGAAUGUAAUGCAAUACUGUAGAGAGAAAAUGUCAGAUGUCUUUAAUUUUACAAAAACAACUUAUGUUCUUAAUACCAAAAUUUGCAAUGGCAGUUUAAUUCUAUUAUGAAUAUUUGCCAUAAAGUAAUGUUCCUUUUAUGCGUUUUUCAAAGGGCACAGUGCCCUGCCCGUUUUUUAAAAACCAUUUUAUUUAUUUAUUUUGAGGGGAAAAAAAGCUUGCACAUGGAGCAAGAAACUAAAAAUUAAAAUGCUUGCCAAGCAGGAGCAGAAAAAAGUUCGUUUUUUUUUAAAGAGGGAAUCAAAUGAAACCAAUCAGAAAAUUUUCAAGUGACAGUGGUGAUCAGUAAAUGAUUUCAUUUUCCAUAAAACGAGGUUAGGGCAAGGGUCUUUGUGAUCCGAAAUUUCGUAAAAUUUUGCAUGUUUUCAAAAGAAAAAAACCUCCUUCAAAAAAAUUCCCCUUACUGUUAUUUUUUGUUAAAAGCACAAAAGUGCUGAAAAGAACAAUCUUUUUUUAUCCAUGACAAGAAUAUUUUUUGAUAUACUUUUUUACAUUGGAUCUCAGAGUUACUGAAUAAAUACCUAAAUCAUUUUCAACUUGACUUACAAUUUUGGGUGUUUCAUAAAAGAGAAUUGCAAAAAAAGAAAAAGAAACCCAUCAAGUUUUACUUCUUUUUUAGUCAUUGAGCAAUAUUAACACUGGAUUAUAGAUACUUUUUUAUUUAAUAUUUCUCCUCACUCAUGCAUAAAAAACAUAUUCAAUGCGCACUAUACACAGUUGUCCCAAGGGGUGCCUAUCUCCCCCAUCCCCCCAUGAGCAAGGGUGCACCCCUUAAGUAUCACAAAGAGCCAGCCCCCUAAAAGGAGAAAAAUACCCUUCAACCAAUUAAAAAUUUGAAUGGCGCAGUCUCCCCCCCCCCCCCCCCCAAGGUAGGCAUGCCUGGUUGUUCCAAAAAACUCUUGAGUAAGUGCCUUUUGAUUCACAAAAAGUGCCCGUUUUAAAAUUCCACCCUGCCCCUUUUUGAAAAAAAUGUGAAAACUAGAACCGUGGUGGCCUGAUCAGUAAGGCAUCGGACUUGUGACCGGAGGGUCCCAGGUUCAAUCCUUGCUGGUUGAAGAUCCACCGUCGUCAUUAAUGGUGUCUGGGCGGCUUUAAAUAUGCUCGUGGUCACAAUGUCGUUCAAAUGGAAAGGAUACCCCUAGGGGUGCUAGACCAGAAAGUUAUUCGGCUUCUGGUCUGGUUCUAAAUUAUUGAACCGUCCGUAGCUGGUGCUGCCAUCUAUCGAGCUGUCUGAGCCAAAUCAGACUUUCACCUAGAAAUAGGUGCUCGAUUAAAAUGGAAGCCGUAACCCCUCUGUGUUAAAAUCAAGUAGCAUUGCUACUUGGGUUCAGAUCUCCGAGUGGCAUAAGUAACGACAACACCAGCUAUAAGAUGUACCAUAUUUUAAAAGAAUGUAUUUCAGCCAAACUUAUUUAACGAAGUGCUGCAUGGUGUUCCUAUAAGUUAAUGAUAUUCUGUUUUUUAAAUUUUCCAAACUCCAAUUUUUUGAAAACUUAUUUAUUUUAAGGAUUAAAAUGAAUUUAUGAACCUUCGAAGAUUUCUAAUACUUCAAUUAAAUUUUCAUCACCUGUAACAUGCUGAAGGAACUGCCUGUCAACAUGGAAGGUAUGUUACUGAAAGUUGAAUGGCAGCGUAUGAGAUUUCAAUUUUUUCGAAUCUUGUAUUUAUUUUGUAUGUUUAAAAAAUUGGACACUCAGUAGCAUGUGCUAUGCAACAGUUUAGUUCUGGAAAAGAGGUGGAGAAUAUGAAGCAGUAAGCAAAAGGAUGGUUUUUAAAAUAUUUUGAGCAAAACACUUGCAAAAUUCAAACUCUGUCUGUCGUAAAAAGGUGAAGUGCAGUAUCUGCUUUUUUUUUUUUUUUGAAUUCUGCUUGAUUGUACAGACUUGCAUAUUUGGUUACUGUUGAAAAUGAAGCAAAAAAAAAAAAAAAAAAAAAAAAGCAAAUUCCAAUGUUUUUACUAUUAGUGGGGAAUUUCAACCAUGUUUCCUCACAUGUCUGAAACUCAUUUCUGCAGAUACGCAGAUACCUGAGCUUCAAUUUUCCAUAGCAGCUGUGUUUUCAAAAGUUUUUCAUAAUCAUGCUGCCUGUACUACUUAAUGAUUAUCCCUUGCUCAAAUCUGUAGUGUGAUUCUUCUAAUUUAAUGUUGUCAUUUACCCCACUUAGCAUCUUUGUGCUUCUACAAGAUAGGUUAAUGAAACUAAAAAGUUGUAUCAAAAAUAUUAUUGUAAAAAAAAUAAAAGAAAAACAAUGCCUUUUAAUUAGGUACAAAAGAGCAUUUUAUAUGUGGAGAUUGAAAGCUUUUUUUCUCAUGUUAUAAAAUGUAGUUGCUGUUUUCUUUAAAAAUAUAGGUUAUGACAGAUCUUUUAUUUGAGGUCUUAAGCACUUUCCUACAAUCUCUUGUAAUUUGUAUGAGCUUCUUAAAAUUUAUCAGUGUGUAAAACCUGUUAACUCUCGUAACCAGUCAAUUGCAAGAAGAAAUUAAUCACGAGAAAUCUUGUGACCCAUCCACAAUGUGUUAAGGAAUUGUAAUACUAAUUAAAUUUGCGAUAUGUUUUAAGUUGCCCAUCCUUCAGGUUAUGGAUGGAUGAGAAAAUAUUAGAGCUACUUGCUUCUGAAAAAUGAAAUAUUCCCACCUGUUUGUAUAUCCAGGAUAAAUUUACUACAAUUGAUACUUAUGAAAAUUAUCCUUUACUUGUGUGUGCAGUGUUUGAUUUGUUUGUAUGGUGAAAAGUGUACUUUGUAUGGAGUAACUUCUAAAAUUGCCUUAUUAGUUCAGUGACCAUAUGCAUCACCCCUUACUUCUAUUUCUGAUUUUUUUUUGUGGGGAAUACGAUACAGUAUAACUUCGAUUUAAUAGUACUCAAUUCAACAAUUUUCCCAAUUUAAUGAUACAUUUCUCUGGUUCAGGUUGACUUAAUUAAAUGUCUAUGCUCCUCGAUUUAACGAUAAUUUUUUUUUCACUCCCUUAACAAUCGUUAAAUCGAGGUUAUACUGUAUGUGUAUAAUAUAUUCCAUGAUUGAUCUGGAUCUCAAACUCCAAACGCAACCUACUUUUUAAGUUCUAAAAGUUUUUUUUUUUCGACCCCCGCAAAUUUUAGCAAUAUGUUGUUUUAAAUGAAUCUUGAUCUUGUUUCUUUCGGAACCUCCCCUUCCUCACAUACAUUCUAGUGGAUCCUGAAGAGGUCUAAAGACACUCACCCCCUCUCAUUUUUUCUGUUUCUCAUUUCUGCCUCUGUUGUGUCAUGGAAGCCUUGUAUGUUUUAUGGUACGUCAAACUAAAGUCUUCAAAAUAGUAAAUGCAUCUCCCUAUUGCCAAGUUGUACGAUUUAGCCAUACAUUGUAAGAUUUUCAGAAGUUUUGUACGGUCUUAUGGCUGAUUUGUACGAUUUUUAGGAUUUUGGUUUUAAUUUUAUGAUAAAUUGCGAACGGAAGAAUUAUUUUGAACAAGUUUUAGAUAAUUUAUGAAAGCUGCAAAGCCAGCAACUUUUAGUUCAAAUUUUAAGUUCAAAAAAAAUUAAAUUUUAUUUAUUUAUGCUUAAAGUUAUGUUUUUUUGCUUAUAAAAGCACAAAUCAAAUCAAGGUCAGGAUUUGAAAAUAUUAUAAUAAUUUAAAUUUUAAUACUUUGUUUUAUGAUGGUCAAAAAGGGUAGAAAUGUAACCACCUCGCACAUUGUAAGAAUUUUUAAGCUGGCAUGUUGGCAGCUAUGCAUCCCCAAAUUACUCUUUAUUUUCUUAAAUUGUUCUCACAAUAUGUAGACUUAAAAUUUUGGUUUCUUUCAUUAUUUAUAUCUAAUAUUUAAUUUUUAUCAAUAUUAGUGAAGUUAGAAGUUUAAUUUUGCAUUAGCUAUUUUACUCAUUUUUCUUAUGUUAGCUACUUAAAUAGUUAUAUGAUACAGAAAUAAAAAAUGCAUUGGUCGAUGCACAGUCAUAAGAAAUUUUCUUUUUUCUGCCUUAAUAUUUAAUUAGGCACUUUUAAUACGAAUUGAAAUUGUUGCGUUACAAAAAAAUUAAUGAGCAUAAAAUAAAAUUUAAAAAGGAAUAUUAUAUUACUUUGUUAUAUUGAUGAUGUAUUAAUAUGUCAUAGAAAUAUAGUACAUAACUUUUUAGUUAUUUUUAAUGAUGGAAUAUUGAACCUAUAAUCAUAAACAACUCGCCAAAAAAUCAGGAAUACUAGAUGCAAGCCCCCCCCCCCAUCAAGUGACAAAGUUACUGGAUUAUAAGAAAUAAUACCAAAUUUUACCUCAGUAUGUUUCUUUGAAAAAAAAAAGUCACAUGACCAUUUUUAAAGAAUGGGCAAGAAGGUGAAUUGCUUAGAACAGUGGAACCUUGUAUAUUCGGACCAACUAGGGAGAAAUACAGUCUGGAUAAUUUAGACAACAAAAAGUCUAUGUAACCAAAUUACAUAGGAUUAUUUCAGGCAAACACUUGUCAUUGAUAGUUCAACUGCAGUGUUGUCGGACUGGUGCUUCAGGUAUGCCAUGAUUUUUAGAUUACUAUAAUUUAUUACAGGUUUUAUACAGGAGUUGAAUAUUUAAUUUUGACAAAGGAAGAAUCUUUUGAUUAUUUUUUCUGUUCUUACCAUCAUAAUCCAAAAUUAUUAUUUAAGUGAAUUUAAUUUUUUAAGGCUACAACCUUGAUCCAGAUGAAAGAAUUAUGAUAAUGUUAUUUUAUUUUUCAUUUACAUUCAGUUCUGAAUUGCAAACUAAUAAUUUCACAUUGCAUCUAAUUAGUGGAAGCUGUAUGUCAGACUAUGAAUUAUUUCAGGUUUUUUGUUUUACAUAUUUUGAAU
This is a long non-coding RNA of Uloborus diversus, 7381 nucleotides long. RefSeq lists it as uncharacterized. The record is from RefSeq and is a predicted model, not a curated record. The transcript is spliced from 3 exons. Lineage: Eukaryota; Metazoa; Arthropoda; Arachnida; Araneae; Uloboridae.